This 301-nucleotide ribosomal RNA is filed under the name uncultured bacterium. RNAcentral describes it as "partial 16S ribosomal RNA". It matches the Rfam family "Bacterial small subunit ribosomal RNA", at positions 509 to 807 of the family's 1533-position model. The record is from RNAcentral.
CAGUAGCCGCGGGAAUACGGAGGGUGCAAGCGUUAAUCGGAAUUACUGGGCGUAAAGCGCACGCAGGCGGUUAUAUAAGACAGAUGUGAAAUCCCCGGACUCAACCUGGGAACUGCAUUUGUGACUGUAUAGCUAGAGUACGGCAGAGGGGGAUGGAAUUCCGCGUGUAGCAGUGAAAUGCGUAGAUAUGCGGAGGAACACCGAUGGCGAAGGCAAUCCCCUGGGCCUGUACUGACGCUCAUGCACGAAAGCGUGGGGAGCAAACAGGAUUAGAUACCCCAGUAGUCCCUGUCUCUUAUAC